This 253-nucleotide ribosomal RNA is filed under the name uncultured bacterium. RNAcentral's name for it is "partial 16S ribosomal RNA". It matches the Rfam family "Bacterial small subunit ribosomal RNA", at positions 524 to 776 of the family's 1533-position model. The record is from RNAcentral.
UACGAAGGGGGCUAGCGUUGUUCGGAAUCACUGGGCGUAAAGGGCGCGUAGGCGGCCGAUCAAGUCGGGGGUGAAAGCCCGUGGCUCAACCACAGAAUUGCCUUCGAUACUGUUUGGCUUGAGACCGGAAGAGGUAAGUGGAACUGCGAGUGUAGAGGUGAAAUUCGUAGAUAUUCGCAAGAACACCAGUGGCGAAGGCGGCUUACUGGUCCGGUUCUGACGCUGAGGCGCGAAAGCGUGGGGAGCAAACAGG